UUGUAAAAUACUCUGUAUAUACCAGAGCCCUGUUGUUUUUUCCCCCUUAUUUGGAUCUGCUCUUCGAUUGAAUUGGAAAAAAUAAAGCGAUAAACCCUAGCUCUUCGUUCUUUGUGUGUUCGUUCUUUUUCAUCAUCUUCCUCGUUCUCUUCCAUCCUCUUCCUCAUUUUGAAGCAGUCCAAUUGGAGAUUGGGCCUCAAAAUUGGAGAUAAUAGAAAUUGGCGAUUGGGUUGUGUGCACCCGAAUUACUUUUCUGUUAGCCAUGUUAAUGUGGAAUUACUUUUCUGUUGUUUUCACUGAUAUGGGUUGUGUGCACCCGAAUUGAAGUUUUGUUGUAUAGGUGACAAGAAAGUUGGUAAUGAUCCAUUGACUGCAUUCGGCUUUGGUGGAUGCAAAAUGACCAAUCAAGUACAAAAGUUCGAGUUUGUAGAAAGUAUAACCAGCUGAAACAUCACUGCUGCCAUUAUUUCUCUGUUUGUACAAUGCGACUCCUUCAAAUUACAUUUCUAUGAUUGUUACAGACUUUGGCAUGGUCAAUUUUCUGUCAGUUGAAAUUGAAUACAUGAACUGCAACCUAUUUUUGAGGGGGUUUUGGAGUAAAAAAGUAACUGAGGUGUUGUACAGUAAAGAAAAUAUUCAUCUUGAAGUUUGCCAGCCCUUCCGGUAAGCAAGUGCAGACCAAGCACGCUCUGCUGUUGGUUCUGGGCAAUCUUCUCUUGGAAUCAAAGAUCUACAUUGGUGAGAGUGGACCACAAAUAUGUAUGUUUGAGUAGGACAAAUAUUUCAUGGUUACUGAUCGGAAGACACAAAUGCUGGGUAUAUUAACAAAUGAAACAAAGUGCCUGAGGUGUGAGACCGUCACAACUAGAAAUGCGACAUUCUUCGUUCUAAGCCGUGAUAUAGAACAGAACAACUCCAUCCAAGGAUGGUGCAUAUAUUCAAGAAUUACAAGCUACUUUAAAUAUGUGAAGAUUCACAGGGGUUUUGGCACAUAAUUAUUAUAUAGGUUUUGAAAAAUAAAGUUAUCGGAUCGUGAUCGCAGGAUAAUUUUUUAUUUUAAUGGAUUUAGUUUUAGAACCUAUAUUUUUUUUACUAUUCAGACAACUGUAAUAGAUAUUAUGCUUAUAGAAUUAAGCUACUUGAAAUGUAUACGUUUUUUGAACUUAUUUGUUAUGAAAAUCUUAUUAUACGCA
Molecule: long non-coding RNA, 1193 nt
Organism: Spinacia oleracea (spinach)
Lineage: Eukaryota; Viridiplantae; Streptophyta; Magnoliopsida; Caryophyllales; Amaranthaceae
Exons: 5
Source: RefSeq, a predicted model, not a curated record